This 530-nucleotide ribosomal RNA is filed under the name uncultured Nitrososphaerota archaeon. RNAcentral describes it as "bacterial SSU rRNA". It matches the Rfam family "Archaeal small subunit ribosomal RNA", at positions 451 to 981 of the family's 1478-position model. Lineage: Archaea; Thermoproteati; Nitrososphaerota. The record is from RNAcentral.
UCUGGUGUCAGCCGCCGCGGUAAAACCAGCACCUCAAGUGGUCAGGAUGAUUAUUGGGCCUAAAGCAUCCGUAGCCGGCUCUGUAAGUUUUCGGUUAAAUCUGUACGCUUAACGUACAGGCUGCCGGGAAUACUGUAGAGCUAGGGAGUGGGAGAGGUAGACGGUACUCGGUAGGAAGGGGUAAAAUCCUUUGAUCUAUUGAUGACCACCUGUGGCGAAGGCGGUCUACCAGAACACGUCCGACGGUGAGGGAUGAAAGCUGGGGGAGCAAACCGGAUUAGAUACCCGGGUAGUCCCAGCUGUAAACUAUGCAAACUCAGUGAUGCAUUGGCUUGUGGCCAAUGCAGUGCUGCAGGGAAGCCGUUAAGUUUGCCGCCUGGGAAGUACGUACGCAAGUAUGAAACUUAAAGGAAUUGGCGGGGGAGCGCCACAAGGGGUGAAGCCUGCGGUUCAAUUGGAGUCAACGCCAGAAAUCUUACCCGGAGAGACAGCAGAAUGAAGGUCAAGCUGAAGACUUUACCAGACAAGCU